CGGCGGACGGGUGAGUAAUGCCUAGGAAUCUGCCUGGUAGUGGGGGACAACGUUUCGAAAGGAACGCUAAUACCGCAUACGUCCUACGGAGAAAGCAGGGACCUUCGGGCCUUGCGCAUCAGAUGAGCCUAGGUCGGAUUAGCUAGUUGGUGAGGUAAUGGCUCACCAAGGCGACGAUCCGUAACUGGUCUGAGAGGAUGAUCAGUCACACUGGAACUGAGACACGGUCCAGACUCCUACGGGAGGCAGCAGCG
Molecule: ribosomal RNA, 254 nt
Filed under: uncultured Pseudomonas sp.
Lineage: Bacteria; Pseudomonadati; Pseudomonadota; Gammaproteobacteria; Pseudomonadales; Pseudomonadaceae
Description: partial 16S ribosomal RNA
Rfam family: Bacterial small subunit ribosomal RNA
Source: RNAcentral